AAUUUAAUGGCCGCAGUAUUUUGACUGUGCAAAGGUAGCAUAAUCAUUAGUUUCUUAAUUAGAAGCUGGAAUGAAAGGUUGAACGAGAAAAUAACUGUCUCUUUAUAAAUUUUUUAGAAAUUUAUUUUUAAGUUAAAAAGCUUAAAUUUAUUUAAUAGACGAGAAGACCCUAUAGAGUUUUAUAUAAUUGAAUUUAAUUAUUAAAUUAGAAUAUUUUUAAUUUUUAAAUUUUAUUAUAUUUAAUUGGGGUGAUUGAAAAAUUUAUUUAACUUUUUUUUUAUAAAAACAUUUAUUUAUGAUUAUUUGAUCCAUUAUAUGUGUGUAUAUAUAUAUAUAUAUAUGAUUAUAAGAUUAAAUUACCUUAGGGAUAACAGCGUAAUUUUUUUUUAGAGUUCAAAUCGAUAAAAAAGUUUGCGACCUCGAUGUUGGAUUAAAAUUUAUUUUUGGUGUAGUAGCUAAAAAAUUAGGUCUGUUCGACCUUUAAAAUUUUACAUGAUCUGAGUUUAAACCGGUGUGAGCCAGGUUGGUUUCUAUCUUUAAUUAUAUAAAAAUAUUUUAGUACGAAAGGACCAAAUAUUUCUAAUAAUUAUUAUAAGUUGAAUUUUAUU
RNAcentral lists this ribosomal RNA (608 nucleotides) under Amischa nigrofusca. RNAcentral's name for it is "partial 16S ribosomal RNA". The stretch from base 367 to 525 matches the Rfam family "Bacterial large subunit ribosomal RNA", at positions 2473 to 2632 of the family's 2925-position model. The record is from RNAcentral. Lineage: Eukaryota; Metazoa; Arthropoda; Insecta; Coleoptera; Staphylinidae.